GACCGAUAGAAAACAAGUACCGUGAGGGAAAGAUGAAAAGAACUUUGAAAAGAGAGUUAAAAGUACUUGAAAUUGUUAACUGGGAACCGCUUAAAUUCUAAUCUCUUAAUUUUAUUAAAUCAUCUUCCUUAAAGGGUGGAUCACAUUAAAUAGAUGUAACUUAGUUAUUCUAUGAGUGGGUGAAGUCAAAGAGGAAGUGCACUUUAGUAGAAUUAUAAUCAACAUGAAUUUUAAGAAAACUUAGAAAAAAUAGAAGAAAGGUAGUAGUUUUAUCUUCGGGUAUUACUAUGUUAUAAUCUUUUAUUGAAUGAGCUACUUAAGAUUGAGGAAGUCAAUGUACUCCUCCUAUGGAUUGUGAUAUUAGGUUCAUGGAAGGGGAUAAAGUAGCAGACUGUAACAGUGUGA
This 405-nucleotide ribosomal RNA is filed under the name uncultured eukaryote. RNAcentral's name for it is "eukaryotic LSU rRNA". It matches the Rfam family "Eukaryotic large subunit ribosomal RNA", at positions 332 to 622 of the family's 3401-position model. The record is from RNAcentral.